AUACGAGGGGUGCAAGCGUUGUUCGGAAUUACUGGGCGUAAAGGGAGCGUAGGCGGAGAUUCAAGCGGAUUGUACAAUCCCGGGGCCCAACCCCGGCUCUGCAGUCCGAACUGGAUCUCUUGGAUAGUUCAGGGGCAGGCGGAAUUCCUGGUGUAGCGGUGGAAUGCGUAGAGAUCAGGAAGAACACCGAUGGCGAAGGCAGCCUGCUGGGGACUUAUCGACGCUGAGGCUCGAAAGUGCGGGUAGCAAACAGGAUUAGAUACCCUGGUAGUCCGCACCGUAAACGAUGCAUACUGGGUGUCCGGGGGUUCCCCCGGGUACCGUAGCCAACGCGUUAAGUAUGCCGCCUGGGGAGUACGUACGCAAGUAUGAAACUCAAAUGAAUUGGCGGGG
Molecule: ribosomal RNA, 393 nt
Filed under: uncultured bacterium
Lineage: Bacteria
Description: partial 16S ribosomal RNA
Rfam family: Bacterial small subunit ribosomal RNA
Source: RNAcentral